Molecule: ribosomal RNA, 488 nt
Filed under: uncultured bacterium
Lineage: Bacteria
Description: bacterial SSU rRNA
Rfam family: Bacterial small subunit ribosomal RNA
Source: RNAcentral
CUCAGGACGAACGCUGGCGGCGUGCCUAACACAUGCAAGUCGAACGGAGAUUUUAUGGAAUGCGACUUCGGUCAAAUGAAAUUUAAUCUUAGCGGCGGACGGGUGAGUAACGCGUGAGUAACCUGCCCAUGAGAGGGGAAUAACACAGCGAAAGUUGUGCUAAUACCGCAUAACAUGUUUCUACCGCAUGAUAGAAACAUCAAAGAUUUAUCGCUCAUGGAUGGACUCGCGUCUGAUUAGAUAGUUGGUGGGGUAACGGCCUACCAAGUCGACGAUCAGUAGCCGAACUGAGAGGUUGAUCGGCCACAUUGGGACUGAGACACGGCCCAGACUCCUACGGGAGGCAGCAGUGGGGGAUAUUGCACAAUGGGGGAAACCCUGAUGCAGCAACGCCGCGUGAAGGAAGAAGGUCUUCGGAUUGUAAACUUUUGUCUUUAGGGAAGAAGAAAGUGACGGUACCUAAGGAGGAAGCCACGGCUAACUACGUG